Molecule: long non-coding RNA, 3514 nt
Organism: Actinia tenebrosa (Australian red waratah sea anemone)
Lineage: Eukaryota; Metazoa; Cnidaria; Anthozoa; Actiniaria; Actiniidae
Source: RefSeq, a predicted model, not a curated record
CGCGUCGUACAAGAAAAACAUGGCGAAUGUGGGUUUUGUAAAGAGAAGAAAAUAGCUAUUUUGACGGCGAGGAACAAUGUCUGGAGAUGAUUAUGAUUGACCUAUGUACUCUGUGCCCUCAGUCUUAUUGACAACUGUGUUUGCUGGAGACUCCACUACAGUGAACAACAAUCAAGAUGCACAUGGGAAAUGUUACAGAUAAGCCAAAACACAGGGCUUCACACUUGAGACCAACAUCUUAAGAUAUAUAUACAGGCAAGAAUAUCAAGUACAAGAAGAGUAAAAGAUUUAUCAAUGCAGGGUUCUACAAGUUCAACAUGAUGGAGCAUGAGUUGUUUAAAGAUUAUUAGUCCAUCUGUGGUUGGUAUUCAACUCUGAUAUACUAACACCUGUCUACAGUGAAUUACGUACCGCUGGUGUACUUCUAGAUUCAAUCAAUAUAGGAUACAGAUUAUCAAGCCAUCUGUGGUUGGUAUUCAACUCUGAUAUACUAACACCUGUCUACAGUGAAAUACUUACCUCUGGUGUACUUCUAGAUUCAAUCAAUACAGGAUAUAGUUAUGCUCUUCUUUGGUUGUCUUUCUCUUUUCCUGUCCAAAUUACACUGUGAUCACUUGAGUGCGAUGAAAAUGAACUUCUUUAGGGUUGGCCUCAAACUAUGUUUUUUUCUCUGUUGUGGCGUCAGGAUUUUCAUUCUUUGGGUGGUUGAUAAUCUACUUGUAUGAAAGUCUGAAUGGUGUCUUAUGCAAGUCUAUUGAGCACACCGCCCCUAAAGUUAUCACUGCUAUACACACCCAUGAAUAGUGAGGUAUGAUUAUCUCUGCUCUUACCCACACUAACCUGCACCGUGUACUGGCCUAUUACACCAUCAGCGUACUCCCAUGAAAUCUGCAGAGAGCCAUCACCUGGUAUCCUUACCUACAACCUUCACCGCCAGAGCAAUCAUCUGAUCAUAGCCUCAAGGUUAGACUCUGCCAAGAGCAGCAAUGUUGGACCGCCUUUUGUGGUUUCCUGGCCUGGUGGGGCAGCUUCUGUUUGGUGCUGGUAGGACCUCAUGGGAGAUGAUUCCUGUCUUGAGUACUGAUUGACUGGAUGUUGAUGGUGCUGCAUCAUCUUACAAGGCUUUGCAGCACAACAGCUUGGUAUAACUGAAUAUGACAGAUUUGGUGUAGCUAGAAAAAAAUGGAACGAAAUGGUCAAAAUUUUGUUGCCUGUUUCAGUAACAUACAUCAGAUACAUGCAUCAGGUUCAAAUGGCAAAGUUAUACAGUAUGUAACUUGGACGUGGGUGUAAAUAUGUGUAGUGCAGCAGCAAAAGUACUCUCCUCUCACCAAGCUAAACUUACUUGUCUGUCAUCUAUCUGCUGGCCAGGACUUGACAGCAUCAUCACCAUGACAACAUGAUCCUUGGCUGAGAGGCUGACAAGCUGUUGGAAAAAAAUCAGAGAUCUGAGUCUCUAGCAUGCCAAUUGCAAGACAAUGGUGCUAGCGAAAGAGAUUUUGUAGGUUGUCAGUAAUCAUACUGAAAACUGACCUUUAUGAGAAUUUAAGUUUUCAAAUAUAUGUGGAUGUAGCUUUAUCUCCUUCUUAUAAGGUCAUCCUCAUUAGUACUCUUUAUGUAUAAAGACAUGGCAUUAUAUAACAACCCCUUGAAUACUAAUGAAGAGGACUUUAUUGAGUUCAAAGGUCCAAGCACAUAAUGUGUGUGGUCACUAAAACACUAUGUAUGUCACUAUCACGUCACAGCUUGUUUAUACGGGAGACAGAAUGGUAAACAACAAUAAGAAUUUGCAAUGCUUUUACUCUGUAGCUGAAUUGACAGCUCUGAUAUGUAUGGUUUUCAAAUAUUUCAUAUUCCAGUGUUUAUCUAACAAUAUAUAUGGUAUUUGGUGCCAAUUAUUGCUUUUUUGAGUUUUAAAAAACACAAUUUUUCAGUUUACUUUUUGUUGUUGGUGUUUUGUCUCCCUUCAACGACCAUCAUUCUUAGUGUUAAAACUAAAGAUUGUUGUCAUGUGAUGUCAAAAUGAAAUAGAGUAUAUUUGACCAAAGGUUUAUGAAUCAUUCAUAAGUUUUUGUUUAGCAUGUCUCCACCAAGUUAUGGAUACAAGUUUCAAUGAUUUCUUCAACACAAUACUUUGCUUGGAAACUAUUGCUUAUCGUAAGGGAGGUGCUGCAGUGUAUGGGUAAACUUACUUGUUUGUCAUGUGUGCUGACUGUCCAGGCCUUGACAACAUCACUAUGACAACAUGAUGUUUGGCUGAAGAUGCUGACAACCUGUUGAAAAAGUCAAAGAUAUUGAUUUCAGUUUACAAGUCAUUCCCUAGAGUAUUAUUUCUUUGUUUAAUGGUUCACAUAAGAAGACACAGUAAUUAGAAUACAACCCAAACAAAGAAUCUUAUUCUCAAGAGAAGGAUAUGUGGUCUGGAAUAAGAAAACAUUAAGCCAAAUAAGGUGGAGAGGUCUAUUAUGAACCAUUUUGUUUUCAAUUUUGUCUUAAAAAAGUACUUUUACAGCAUAUCAAGCAUCCCAUGCUGUAGUUACAAUAGAAAAACUAAUUUGGAAUGGAUGUAUUUCUAUAUUCUAUAACAUAGCUAAUAGUUUAACUUACUUGUCUGUCAUACAUCUGCUGGCAAUAGCUUGAUGCAAUGUAAUAUCAUCACAAUCUAAUGAUGACACAUACCAAUACUUGUCAUCAAGCUGUUGAAAAAGUGAAAGAGAUCUGUUUAGAAACCUGAAUCAAUCUGUUUAGGAUAAUUGUAUUACUAGCAGUUACUAGUUGUGACUUCAUUCUAGAAAUUUUCUAUACUGGAUAAUCCAUGUCUAUCCUUUAGUUGUCAGUAUACUGGUCAGCAGUAGACCAUGUUGUACAGUGGGAACCCUGUGGUUGUCUGACAUCUACCAUGUUGGUUUUGAGAUACAAAAGCCCAUAGAGUGCCACAACAAAGCAUUGUAUAACUAACUUAUGUAUGAAAUUGUUCUGCAGAGUAAUAUACAUACCUGAUGAUUAGUAAUAAACUGCUGCUUGGGAUAUGAACAACAUUUUUGUGGUAACAAGAGUCAAGAUGCAGUAUGGUAAUGAGGUUCAGAUCACUGGACAGCCUUAUGGAGUGUUUCACGCAUUGACACACGUCGAACCGCGAAGGGAACAAGAUUGAAAUGAACACAAGUUACACCAAGAGCCUGGAUACUAGCACUUUACACAGGAAGCCCGCCAAAAAAUUGAUAUUUAGGCGAAAAUUAGACGGUUUUUGAGCAAUUUGUUUUGCCAAAAACAUGAAACAUCACUAGAAAAACUCUUCCUAGCACUCCAUGGAUGAUAAAAACUCGAAAAAAGGCUUGUUUUAGGGGGGAAAUCAAUAUUAUGUUAAUUAGUCACGUGACCUCUAAUUUUGUGUUUUUGGGUGUGAAUUUUCAAUUUUUCUGUGACAAACAUUUUUUCGGGGGUUUGAAGUAAUUUUCUUUGAUUCGAAUUUAUUAGAUCACGCUGUUGAUAAUAAAAGAACAUCGAACCUUUA